Hibiscus syriacus is the source of this 106-nucleotide small nucleolar RNA. Lineage: Eukaryota; Viridiplantae; Streptophyta; Magnoliopsida; Malvales; Malvaceae. The record is from RefSeq and is a predicted model, not a curated record.
AAUUCGUGCAUUGGAUACUUUCGUAGCAACUCCUUAAAACACUCCCAAGCUUUAUAUAAAUUCUCGUCAUCUAACUGCUUGAACAAAGUAAUAUCAUUUCGUAUCC